Long non-coding RNA from Mya arenaria, 961 nucleotides. RefSeq lists it as uncharacterized. NCBI's taxonomy places the organism in Eukaryota, Metazoa, Mollusca, Bivalvia, Myida, Myidae. The record is from RefSeq and is a predicted model, not a curated record. The transcript is spliced from 3 exons.
ACGACACAAGUUUUUAAAACAAAUCCUUAUAUGGAGAUUAUGCAAUACGAAAAAAGAAUAUUACAAAACGGAACUGCCUCUGGCAUCAGUAGACAUAACCGCGCCUGCCACGUGUAUAGCUACUAGUUUCAGUUGACCGUCGAAAUGAGUUCCGGCUUCAUCCUUUUAUUCAUUCUCGCCGCAAUUGGACCAGUCGCCGCUGGCAAUUGCAACACUGCCCCGGAUGUAGACGGAUGUAGCGUUAAAGUAAAUAGAUGGGACCUGCCACCUUUCUUCUGGGAUAUUUUCGAACCUGGCUGCAAUAAACACGACAUCUGCUAUUCCUGUGGAGCUUAUUAUGGAGUGUCGAGAAGGUUAUGCGACGACCAUUUGUACGCAAAUAACAAAAAAAUUAUGUUCCACCAAUACAAAAGUAAGACAUCUAUCAUGGUGUCUGCAGUUUGCCCGAGAGUACUACUUGGUAUGGAUUAAUUUCAAGCAUUCCUAUUAUAAACAAACGUCACCGGGAUGGUGCAGCCAACCCUACGUAGCAGAUUGCAUUAUUUAAGCGUCUCUGAUUGUGUGAUGAAUCAACUAAACGUGAACAUGGUUUGUAUUCGGAACAGACAAUUUAGCUUUGCCAAACAACAAUAAUAUGCUUUAUUGAUCAACUAUUUGACGCGAUACUGAAACAAUCAUAUUACUUAUACUUUACAAUGGACAAAUGCCCAAACUAGCCCAAUAAGGACCAAAGUCGACUUAUACGAGUUCUUACCGUUUUGAUUGGCAACAAAACUGCCAAAUACGGAAUGUGAGGAAUGGUCCAUUUUUAUUACCUGUUGAAACUCGCCAUAAUAUGAGAAUGCUGUAAAUUAUUAAAUUUGGCAGCCAUUUUGUUUUUUUAUUUUACCGACUGUUUUAAAAACUGUAUGCCUUGUUUAAAACAUAUUUUAAUUACUAGCUUAUUAAAUCCUUCAACCAC